GGUUGUAACUCAGUGGUAGAGCACUCAUCUAGCAAGUGUGAGGUACUGGGUUUGAUUCUCAGCAUGAAAAACCA
RNAcentral lists this transfer RNA (74 nucleotides) under Marmota monax (woodchuck). Its description in RNAcentral is "tRNA.Ala". The stretch from base 4 to 64 matches the Rfam family "tRNA", at positions 6 to 65 of the family's 71-position model. From Rfam's summary of the family: Transfer RNA (tRNA) molecules are approximately 80 nucleotides in length. Their secondary structure includes four short double-helical elements and three loops (D, anti-codon, and T loops). Further hydrogen bonds mediate the characteristic L-shaped molecular structure. tRNAs have two regions of fundamental functional importance: the anti-codon, which is responsible for specific mRNA codon recognition, and the 3' end, to which the tRNAs corresponding amino acid is attached (by aminoacyl-tRNA synthetases). tRNAs cope with the degeneracy of the genetic code in two manners: having more than one tRNA (with a specific anti-codon) for a particular amino acid; and 'wobble' base-pairing, i.e. permitting non-standard base-pairing at the 3rd anti-codon position. Lineage: Eukaryota; Metazoa; Chordata; Mammalia; Rodentia; Sciuridae. The record is from RNAcentral.